GAAUCUUAGACAAUGGGGGAAACCCUGAUCUAGCCAUGCCGCGUGGACGAUGAAGGCCUUAGGGUUGUAAAGUCCUUUCGCUGGGGAAGAUAAUGACGGUACCCAGUAAAGAAGUCCCGGCUAACUCCGUGCCAGCAGCCGCGGUAAUACGGAGGGGACUAGCGUUGUUCGGAAUUACUGGGCGUAAAGCGCACGUAGGCGGAUUAUUAAGUCGGGGGUGAAAUCCCGGGGCUCAACCCCGGAACUGCCUUCGAUACUGGUAGUCUAGAGUUCUGGAGAGGUGAGUGGAAUUCCGAGUGUAGAGGUGAAAUUCGUAGAUAUUCGGAGGAACACCAGUGGCGAAGGCGGCUCACUGGCCAGAUACUGACGCUGAGGUGCGAAAGCGUGGGGAGCAAACAGG
RNAcentral lists this ribosomal RNA (400 nucleotides) under uncultured bacterium. RNAcentral's name for it is "bacterial SSU rRNA". It matches the Rfam family "Bacterial small subunit ribosomal RNA", at positions 359 to 776 of the family's 1533-position model. The record is from RNAcentral.